Molecule: ribosomal RNA, 384 nt
Filed under: Sphingobacteriales bacterium SCN 48-20
Lineage: Bacteria; Pseudomonadati; Bacteroidota; Sphingobacteriia; Sphingobacteriales
Description: bacterial SSU rRNA
Rfam family: Bacterial small subunit ribosomal RNA
Source: RNAcentral
UUUACAAUGGAGAGUUUGAUCCUGGCUCAGGAUGAACGCUAGCGGCAGGCUUAAUACAUGCAAGUCGUGGGGCAGCGCAGUGUAGCAAUACAUGGGCGGCGACCGGCAAACGGGUGCGGAACACGUACACAACCUUCCUUUUAGUGGAGCAUAGCCUAAGGAAACUUGGAUUAAUACUCCGUAACAUAAUGAAGUGGCAUCACUUUAUUAUUAUAGCAGCAAUGCGCUAGAAGACGGGUGUGCGGCUGAUUAGGUAGUUGGCGGGGUAACGGCCCACCAAGCCUACGAUCAGUAACUGGUGUGAGAGCACGACCAGUCACACGGGCACUGAGACACGGGCCCGACUCCUACGGGAGGCAGCAGUAAGGAAUAUUGGUCAAUGGA